Molecule: long non-coding RNA, 379 nt
Organism: Oryza brachyantha (malo sina)
Lineage: Eukaryota; Viridiplantae; Streptophyta; Magnoliopsida; Poales; Poaceae
Exons: 2
Source: RefSeq, a predicted model, not a curated record
CUGGCACAACCACCGAACUCAACUGCGGUGAAAAACGCUCUCGAUUCUGUGGAUCCUGCAGUGCGAGUAGGGGAAAGGGGGCCUCCGCUCGCCGCCGGCCCCUUCUCCCCGACGCAGCCGGCAGGUGGUGAUCCGCCGCUAGCGCAGCCGCAAGUGGAGACGCGCAGUCGCCACGGCGGCCGCACCGGUUGUCUGUUCGAACCGAAUUUGAACAACCUUCUUCAAGACCGAAAGGGAAGGGAAUGACCGUGCUUCCGCAUGAUGGCAGACAAUGUUCUUUGUGCUUGGGGUUGUAAUCUGCGGCUCCUCACAGAAAGAAAAGGAAGAUGAAAGUUAGAUAUGGAAUUUCUAUAAGUACGCCUUAAUUUUCGGGGGAAAA